Molecule: non-coding RNA, 267 nt
Organism: Vicia faba (fava bean)
Lineage: Eukaryota; Viridiplantae; Streptophyta; Magnoliopsida; Fabales; Fabaceae
Source: the annotation of a GenBank genome assembly
AUGAGAAAACUAGAGAACACUCGAUGUUCAGAGAAUGAUCCACUGAGAAAUAAACUCAGUGACGGAGGCUUGCGAAAGCAACAAGAGGAUCAGAUACAGAGCAGUGUUGCAGAAUUUAUGGAAAAUUGGAGUGAGAUUGAUGGAGGUCGCAAAGAGGGCUUAGAGGUUGAUGAAGGUGAAGAAGAAAGGGAGAGCAAGAAGAUAGAGAUUUCAGAGUUUUUUUUCCUGUUGUUUGAGCAGAGAGAAAGGAGCUUCAGAUUCUUUUGA